AUUUGGACAAUUUUGAAAAUUUGACCUCAAAUCAGGUAG
Molecule: ribosomal RNA, 39 nt
Filed under: Laccaria tortilis f. clemenconii
Lineage: Eukaryota; Fungi; Basidiomycota; Agaricomycetes; Agaricales; Hydnangiaceae
Description: partial 28S ribosomal RNA
Source: RNAcentral